GGACUUGUUUGGACAUGCCUCAAGUCACCCCGAGUUUGAGCAGGUUCCAUUUCCGAAGCUCUCAUUCCAGAUCCCUGGUAAUAUCGGUAAUUAUUCAGCUAAGAAUGAAGGUCUACCGCACUAAUCCACGGAAGCAGUGGGAUCAAUGGCACGGCAUGAGGAUGAGAGUCCUACCUUGACAGUCUCCAAGGCUGUAUCCUCUCACAGGCUCCAUGAGGCUUCCAGCCACAGUAAGGAUCUCUUGAUGCAAUGCAUGACCUGGCACACAAACACAGUGAAAAACAGGCUUAAUGAUUAUGGAAAGAACAUCGUUAUCAUUUGUGACUGACUGAACAUUAACCAUACGGCCGCCUAAGGUCAAACCGCUAUAUUGCCCUUUAUGAUGUUUACGGGAAAAACGCCUCAAAUAAGGUCAAACACCUAUGAGUGACAGUACAACCCCAUGGAAUGAGCCGGU
Gambusia affinis (western mosquitofish) is the source of this 457-nucleotide long non-coding RNA. RefSeq lists it as uncharacterized. The record is from RefSeq and is a predicted model, not a curated record. NCBI's taxonomy places the organism in Eukaryota, Metazoa, Chordata, Actinopteri, Cyprinodontiformes, Poeciliidae. The transcript has 3 exons.